GACGGGGGGGGCAAGUGUUCUUCGGAAUGACUGGGCGUAAAGGGCACGUAGGCGGUGAAUCGGGUUGAAAGUCAAAGUCGCCAAAAACUGGCGGAAUGCUCUCGAAACCAAUUCACUUGAGUGAGACAGAGGAGAGUGGAAUUUCGUGUGUAGGGGUGAAAUCCGGAGAUCUACGAAGGAACGCCAAAAGCGAAGGCAGCUCUCUGGGUCCCUACCAACGCUGGGGUGCGAAAGCAUGGGGAGCGAACAGG
RNAcentral lists this ribosomal RNA (251 nucleotides) under uncultured bacterium. Its description in RNAcentral is "partial 16S ribosomal RNA". It matches the Rfam family "Bacterial small subunit ribosomal RNA", at positions 524 to 776 of the family's 1533-position model. The record is from RNAcentral.